Perca fluviatilis (European perch) is the source of this 361-nucleotide long non-coding RNA. RefSeq lists it as uncharacterized. NCBI's taxonomy places the organism in Eukaryota, Metazoa, Chordata, Actinopteri, Perciformes, Percidae. The record is from RefSeq and is a predicted model, not a curated record. The transcript has 3 exons.
GUUGCACUUAGAUAAAAUGAGAUUAACAUCAUUACAAAAAUAUUUCCCUUUGACCUCCUUUUCUUUAUGCAGUGCGGAGUACAGUGCCUUCAUCACUGAGGGAAAGUGAGGGCAGAUGUCAGGAGACAGAGAGCAGCACUCAAGAGAGUGAAAGUCAGGGCCAGGCAGGGGACCCGAGACAAGUGUUUCCUUAUAAUGUGGCAGAAUUUGUCCCUGUUUAUCUGGAAGAAGAUGAGGCUCUUGAAGAGGCAAUUCAGCGUAGUCUACUAGAAGAGUGUGAUGGACCUGCUGUUAAUACUUUAAAGUCAUCUGAAAUGCUGAGCAAAGAAGAAAUUGCAGGCCUUCUACAAGCUCACAGUGA